This 71-nucleotide transfer RNA is filed under the name Loxodonta africana (African savanna elephant). It matches the Rfam family "tRNA". From Rfam's summary of the family: Transfer RNA (tRNA) molecules are approximately 80 nucleotides in length. Their secondary structure includes four short double-helical elements and three loops (D, anti-codon, and T loops). The record is from Rfam by way of RNAcentral. Lineage: Eukaryota; Metazoa; Chordata; Mammalia; Proboscidea; Elephantidae.
GCAAUGGUGGUCCAGUGGUAGAAUUCUCGCCUUCCAUGUGGGGGACCUGUGUUUGAUUCCCAGCCAAGGCA